RNAcentral lists this microRNA precursor (203 nucleotides) under Olea europaea subsp. europaea. The record is from RNAcentral. Lineage: Eukaryota; Viridiplantae; Streptophyta; Magnoliopsida; Lamiales; Oleaceae.
GUAGGGAGUGGGGAGUUGAAAGGCAAUAAAAUGAAUAAAAAAUUGAAAAUUGGGAAAAAGCUCUCUUCCCGAUUCGGGGAAGAGAGCAGUUCUGAUAAUAAUAAUAAUACAGAACUGCUCUCUUCCCUGAAUCGGGAAGAGAGCUUUUUCCCGAUUUUCAAUUUUUUAUUCAUUUUAUUGCCUUUUGCCUUUUUCAACUCUCC